Molecule: ribosomal RNA, 330 nt
Filed under: Sarax cochinensis
Lineage: Eukaryota; Metazoa; Arthropoda; Arachnida; Amblypygi; Charinidae
Description: partial large subunit ribosomal RNA
Rfam family: Bacterial large subunit ribosomal RNA
Source: RNAcentral
AAUCUGACCUGCUCUAUGUAAAUGGCCGCGGUAUUUUGACCGUGCUAAGGUAGCAAAGUCAUUAGUUUUUUAAUUGGGGACUUGAAUGAAGGGUUGGACAAGAGGAGAGCUGUCUUAGGAAAUUGAAGUUUGUUUUGAUGUGAGAAAACGUGGAGGAAGAGAAGACCCUAUUAAGCUUAAUUAUUUUACUGGGGCGGUAGCAAUGAGAGUAGGAUUAAGUUACUAUAGGGAUAACAGCGUAAGACAUUCAGAGAGUUCUUAUUGAAGAGUGUAUUUGCGACCUCGAUGUUGAAUUAAGAAUUUUUGGUGGAGGACCUUUAAAGGCUUACA